UCCUCGGGGUUGAGGACUCACACAACGGUAAGAUAGGUUAGUCGAACGGUAUGGGAAGGCCGGCCACAGCGGGUGAGAGCCCCGUAGACGAAAACUGAAUCUUAUUAGUGAGGAUCCAGAGUACCGCCGGACACGUGAAACCCGGUGGGAAACUGGGGGGACCACCCUCCAAGCCUAAAUACUACCUGAUGACCGAUAGAGGAGCAGUACCGUGAGGGAAAGGUGAAAAGGACCCCGGGAGGGGAGUGAAAUAGA
Molecule: ribosomal RNA, 255 nt
Filed under: Intestinimonas massiliensis (ex Afouda et al. 2020)
Lineage: Bacteria; Bacillati; Bacillota; Clostridia; Eubacteriales
Description: partial 23S ribosomal RNA
Rfam family: Bacterial large subunit ribosomal RNA
Source: RNAcentral